RNAcentral lists this ribosomal RNA (429 nucleotides) under Verrucomicrobiota bacterium. Its description in RNAcentral is "Verrucomicrobia bacterium partial 16S ribosomal RNA". It matches the Rfam family "Bacterial small subunit ribosomal RNA", at positions 355 to 776 of the family's 1533-position model. Lineage: Bacteria; Pseudomonadati; Verrucomicrobiota. The record is from RNAcentral.
UGGGGAAUCUUCCGCAAUGGGCGAAAGCCUGACGGAGCAACGCCGCGUGAGUGAAGACGGCCUUCGGGUUGUAAAACUCUGUGAUUCGGGACGAAAGAUAAGUAGACGAAUAAUCUGCAUAAGUGACGGUACCGAAAAAGAAAGCCACGGCUAACUACGUGCCAGCAGCCGCGGUAAUACGUAGGUGGCAAGCGUUGUCCGGAAUUAUUGGGCGUAAAGCGCGCGCAGGCGGCUACUUAAGUCCAUCUUAAAAGUGCGGGGCUUAACCCCGUGUUGGGAUGGAAACUGAGAAGCUGGAGUGUCGGAGAGGAAAGUGGAAUUCCUAGUGUAGCGGUGAAAUGCGUAGAGAUUAGGAAGAACACCGGUGGCGAAGGCGACUUUCUGGACGGCAACUGACGCUUAGGCGCGAAAGCGUGGGGAGCAAACAGG